GGGAGUAUAACUCAGUUGGUAGAGUGCUUGCCUUGCAUACACAAGGCCCUGGGUUCAAUCCCCAGUAUCCCCC
RNAcentral lists this transfer RNA (73 nucleotides) under Urocitellus parryii (Arctic ground squirrel). RNAcentral describes it as "Spermophilus parryii (Arctic ground squirrel) tRNA". It matches the Rfam family "tRNA". From Rfam's summary of the family: Transfer RNA (tRNA) molecules are approximately 80 nucleotides in length. RNAcentral also lists the same sequence under 1 other name. Lineage: Eukaryota; Metazoa; Chordata; Mammalia; Rodentia; Sciuridae. The record is from Rfam by way of RNAcentral.